Molecule: long non-coding RNA, 2359 nt
Organism: Bos taurus (domestic cattle)
Lineage: Eukaryota; Metazoa; Chordata; Mammalia; Artiodactyla; Bovidae
Source: Ensembl
CCCUGGUGGCCCAGUGGUAAGGAAUCCGCCAGCCAAUGCAGGAGACAUGGGUUCGAUCCCUGAGUCGGGAAGAUCCCCUGGAGAAGGAAAUGGCGGCAGCCCACUCCAGUAUUCUUGCCUGGGAAAACCCAUGGACAGAGGAGCCUGGCAAGCUACAGUUCAUGAGGUGGCAAAGAGUCAGACACAACUUAGCAACUAAACCACAACAACAAUUUUCUUCAAGAAAUUUUAAGUUCACAACAAAAUCAAGCAAGAAGUACAGAGAUUUCUGAUAUAUUCCCUAUCCCACAUAUGCACAAUGGCCCCCACUAGCCACAUCUCUGGUUCACCAGAGUAUGUUUGUUAAAAUCGAUGAACCUACACCCAUGCAUCGUUAUCAUCCAAAGUUCAUCUACAGUCCAUGGGGUUGAAAAGAGCUGGACAUGAUUGAGCAACUAACACACAUCUUGGUGUUGAACAUUCUACCAGUUUGGAAAAAGAUAGAAUGACAUGUGUCCCCAUUAUGGAAUCAUACAGAGUACUUGCAUUGCUCAAAAAAUUCUCCAUGCUCCGCCUAUUCAUCUCUCCCUGCCUCCUAACUCUAGGCAGCAACUGAUCCUUUUACUGCAUUCAUAUUUUUGCCUUCUCCAGCGUGUCAUAUAGUUGGAACCACAGUGUGUAGCCUCUUCAGUUCAGUUGAAUUCAGUUCAGUUGCUCAGUCGUGUCUGACUCUGCGACCCCAUGGACUGCAGUUCGCUAGGCUUCCCUGUCCAUCACCAAUCCCGGAGCUUGCUCAAACUCAUGUCCAUCGAGUUAUUGAUGCCAUCCAACCAUCUCAUCCUCUGUCAUCCCCUUCAGAUUAGCUUUCUUUCACUUUGCAAUAUCCAUUUAAGUUUUCUCCAAGUCAUCUCAUGGCUUAGUAGCUCAAUCUCUUUUAGCACUAAAUAAUAUUUCUUUUGCAUGUUACAUUUGGAUGUAUCAGUUUAUUAUCCAUUCACCUACUGAAGAACAUCUUGGUUGCUUCCAGGCUUUGGCAGUUAGGAAUAAAGCUGUUAUAGACAUCCAUGUGCAGGUUUUUGGUGAACAUAAGUUUUCAGUUUCUCUAGGUAGAUACCAAGGAGCAUGACUGCUGGAUCAUAUGGUAAGAAUACAUUUAGUUCUAUAAGAAACUGCCAACUUGUCUUCCAAAAUGACUGUACCAUACUGCAUGCCCAUCAGCAAUAAACGAGAGUUCCUGUUGUUCCACGUCCUUGCCAGCAUGUGGCGAUAUUGGUAUUACGGAUUUUCACCAUUUUAAUCAGUGUGUAGUGGAAUCUCAUUGUUUUAAUUUGUAAUUCCCUAAUUACAUUUGAUGUGGAACAUCUUUUGGUAUGUUUAUUUGCCAUCUGUACACUUUUUGAUGGGAGAUAUCUGUUUACCUCUUUUGCUCGUUUUUCAAUUCAAUUCAGUUCAGUCACUCAGUCAUGUCCGACUCUGUGACCCCAUGGACUGCAGCGUGCCAGGCUUCCUUGUCCAUCACCAACUCCAGAGCUUUCUCAAACUCAUGUCCAUCAAGUCAGUGAUGCCAUUCAACCAUCUCAUCCUCUGUUGUCCCCUUCUCCUCCUGCCUUCAAUCUUUCCCAGCAUCAGGGUCGUCUCCAAAGAGUCAGUUCUAUGCAUCAGGUAGCCAAAGUAUUGGAGUUUCAGCUUCAGCAUCAAUCCUUUCAAUGAAUAUUAGGACUGAUUUCCUUUAGGAUUGACUGGUUUGAGCUCCUUGCAGUCCUUGGGUUAUUCAUUUUCUUCUUAUUAUUAUUGACUUUCUUAUUAUUGUUAUAAGAGUUAUGUGAACCGUUUGGAUAAUGGUCCACUAUCAAAUAUGUCUCUUUCAAAUAAUUUCUCCCAGUCUGUGGCUUGUUUUUUCUUUCUCUUGAGCAAGUACUCUUACACUAUUUUGGUGGGAAGUAGUUUUUUAGACAACAUUUUGUUUCUAAAAAUAUUUGAGAAACAUGACCAAAAAGAUAGGUAUAUAAAUGUUUAUUGCAACAUUAUUUGUUCUUUCAGAAACAGAAACCACAUGGAGGCAACAGUGUGUUCCCUAAGUCUGCGGUAGGGAGAGGUGUGGAUGUGUGUACUCCACCCUGUGGAAUACUAUAUGGCCAUAAAAAAGAAAGGCUGUUAUAGAACAAUCUGUCGAGUAGAAUCACAUUUUUUUAGGUGGGGAGCCUGGAGGGAAGUAGGCAAUCUAAGCUCAGGUUUAUAAAUGCAAGGGGAGACAAUGAGAGCACACAGCCACCCAAGACUGGGGUUUCCUCUAGUGAGGGCAGGGAAUCAGAAUAUUUUUAUUCUACACCCUUUUAAAAUGAUCUUUUAAUGUGUAUGUGCUACUUGUGUAAAAUAAAAC